CGUGUAGGCGGCCAAGUGUGUCGGAUGUGAAAUCCCGCGGCUCAACCGUGGAAGUGCAUUCGAAACUGCUUGGCUGGAGUUUCGGAGAGGAAGGCGGAAUGCUUGGUGUAGAGGUGAAAUUCGUAGAUAUCAAGCAGAACACCUGUGGCGAAGGCGGCCUUCUGGACGAUGACUGACGCUGAGACGCGAAAGCGUGGGGAGCAAACAGGAUUAGAUACCCUGGUAGUCCACGCCGUAAACGAUGAGUGCUAGGUGUCAGGGGCUUUGACCCUCCUGGUGCCGCAGCUAACGCAAUAAGCACUCCGCCUGGGGAGUACGGCCGCAAGGCUAAA
Molecule: ribosomal RNA, 332 nt
Filed under: uncultured Polyangium sp.
Lineage: Bacteria; Pseudomonadati; Myxococcota; Polyangiales; Polyangiaceae
Description: bacterial SSU rRNA
Rfam family: Bacterial small subunit ribosomal RNA
Source: RNAcentral